UGCUCCCGUAGCUCAGGGGAUAGAGCACCGCCCUCCGGAGGCGGGUGCGAGGGUUCGAAUCCCUCCGGGAGCGCCC
RNAcentral lists this transfer RNA (76 nucleotides) under Propionibacterium ruminifibrarum. RNAcentral's name for it is "Propionibacterium sp. JV5 tRNA-Arg(ccg)". It matches the Rfam family "tRNA". Rfam says of the family: Transfer RNA (tRNA) molecules are approximately 80 nucleotides in length. Lineage: Bacteria; Bacillati; Actinomycetota; Actinomycetes; Propionibacteriales; Propionibacteriaceae. The record is from RNAcentral.